AUUGAACGCUGGCGGCAUGCCUUACACAUGCAAGUCGAACGGCAGCACGGGGGCAACCCUGGUGCGGACGUGGCGGAACGGGUGAGACGAAUACAUCGGAACGUGUCCUGUAGUGGGGGAUAGCCCGGCGAAAGCCGGAUUAAUACCGCAUACGCUCUGAGGAGGAAAGCGGGGGACCUUCGGGCCUCGUGCUACAAGAGCAGCCGAUGUCAGAUUAGCUUGUUGGUGAGGUAAAAGCUCACCAAGGCGACGAUCUGUAGCUGGUCUGAGAGGACGACCAGCCACACUGGGACUGAGACACGGCCCAGACUCCUACGGGAGGCAGCAGUGGGGAAUUUUGGACAAUGGGCGAAAGCCUGAUCCAGCAAUGCCG
This 373-nucleotide ribosomal RNA is filed under the name uncultured Pandoraea sp. RNAcentral describes it as "bacterial SSU rRNA". It matches the Rfam family "Bacterial small subunit ribosomal RNA", at positions 29 to 399 of the family's 1533-position model. The record is from RNAcentral. Lineage: Bacteria; Pseudomonadati; Pseudomonadota; Betaproteobacteria; Burkholderiales; Burkholderiaceae.